AGUCGACGAUGAAUCUUCUAGCUUGCUAGAAGUGGAUUAGUGGCGCACGGGUGAGUAAUGCUUAGGUUAUGUGCCCUUUAGUCUGGGAUAGCCACUGGAAACGGUGAUUAAUACUGGAUACUCCCUACGGGGGAAAGUUUUUCGCUAAAGGAUCAGCCUAUGUCCUAUCAGCUUGUUGGUGAGGUAAUGGCUCACCAAGGCUAUGACGGGUAUCCGGCCUGAGAGGGUGAUCGGACACACUGGAACUGAGACACGGUCCAGACUCCUACGGGAGGCAGCAGUAGGGAAUAUUGCUCAAUGGGGGAAACCCUGAAGCAGCAACGCCGCGUGGAGGAUGAAGGUUUUAGGAUUGUAAACUCCUUUUGUUAGAGAAGAUUAUGACGGUAUCUAACGAAUAAGCACCGGCUAACUCCGUGCCAGCAGCCGCGGUAAUACGGAGGGUGCAAGCGUUACUCGGAAUCACUGGGCGUAAAGAGUGCGUAGGCGGGGUAAUAAGUCAGAUGUGAAAUCCUGUAGCUUAACUACAGAACUGCAUUUGAAACUGUUACUCUGGAGUGUGGGAGAGGUAGGUGGAAUUCUUGGUGUAGGGGUAAAAUCCGUAGAGAUCAAGAGGAAUACUCAUUGCGAAGGCGACCUGCUGGAACAUUACUGACGCUGAUGCACGAAAGCGUGGGGAGCAAACAGGAUUAGAUACCCUGGUAGUCCACGCCCUAAACGAUGGAUGCUAGUUGUUGCCUUGCUUGUCAGGGCAGUAAUGCAGCUAACGCAUUAAGCAUCCCGCCUGGGGAGUACGGUCGCAAGAUUAAAACUCAAAGGAAUAGACGGGGACCCGCACAAGCGGUGGAGCAUGUGGUUUAAUUCGAAGAUACGCGAAGAACCUUACCUAGGCUUGACAUUGAUA
Molecule: ribosomal RNA, 901 nt
Filed under: uncultured bacterium
Lineage: Bacteria
Description: bacterial SSU rRNA
Rfam family: Bacterial small subunit ribosomal RNA
Source: RNAcentral